GCAGCAGCGGCACCAGCCGCCGCCAGGCCAGCAGGAAACGGGCAGCAAGCGCUGCCGCUACCUCCACCUCCGCCGCCGCGCAGGGUCAGGGGGCAGAGGGCGAGCGCCCACCCCCUGGCCAAUCGCGAGCCGCCCAGCCCCGAGUGGGGCGGGGCGAGGUGCGUCGCCAUGGUUGCAGCACGCUAAGCCUCCUGGGGUCCUUUCCCCGGUUGUCACGGUGAGGUUGGCGGCGGAGGCGGCGGCGGCGGGGGGCCGCGGGGGCGAGAUCCUGAUCCGGCUUCUUGGGCCAAAGGAAAGGCGGCCCGAGGGCGAGCGCGAAGGCACGACGGUUGCCGGCUCGCCUCUUCUCUCGGCGCCCUUUCGGUUAGUGGUUUUAAAAAGGCAGAAACAGCCACCCUCGUUUGUUUCUCCGUCGCGUUUGCAAAGCCGAAUGUAACCCAAGGGCCGGAGCUCAGCCUCGCACGAAGUUGCCUGGAUCUGUCAGGUCGAGCGGGGAGCCCACCCGGUCAAUGACCAGGAGCGGUUUGGCGCGGAGGAGCCACGCCCAGCAACAACAAAAAAUCGUUUGUCCGGGAGUUCUGUGGGACAUUUACUCCAGGGUAAAGAGGGUUCAGAACAGCAGCCUGAAAAAUAAGCUGAAGGGAACGGAGUGGGACUUCAAGACAAACAUGUUUAAAAAUCUUUGCCUUCGUGGCAUGGAUUGGAGAAGCGUGGCUGGCUCGGGAAAGGGCCGAAGGUGAUGUUCAAACUGACAGAGCUGAUUUCAAAUGGCUUGCGCACACCUAACUCUGCACAACUACUGUAUGAGAAUAUUUUAACCGUCCUCCUGUAUAACAACAGUGUAAAUACUAAGGGAGGGUUGCAUAACAAGCAAAGUAAUCCUGUAACACAGAAAUGUUAUUGUUGCUUUUUUAUUGAUUUGGAUCUGGAAGGUCUGGGGGUUUUGUGUUUUUUUAGCAUUCUGAUUUGGAAUGUACCAGGGUAGUAUUUUUCAGACUUGGAACAGAAUAUUCCUACCAAGAGGGGUAGUGAAAGGAACCAUUUAUAAACUCCUUCAUGCUAUUGGAAUGUGAUGCUAUGUCAAAUGUGUGAGAAAAAAAUGCACUGGCCCAAAUCCUCACAUUUAUUAAUGCUGGUAUAGUACAAAUUGCAUAACUUUUAGAAGCAAGUUGCCCCAAUGUAGACAUUAUGAGUUACAUACUGAGUUGUUCAACUACCUAUUAAACUGAUUUUUUUAACAAGUUGCUUCCAAAGGUAUGCCAUUUCCAUAGCUAAACAAGAAGAUUGUUUGAAUACUCGCGAACAGUGCCCAGAAAGGGUCACACAAAGACAAGCAUGUACACUGUCAAGGUUACCCAGGUCAGAGAGGCCUGCAUCAACCACUUAGCCACACUACCCUGAUUGUCCUGGUGGGAGUAAAAUCUAUCAAAUGUGCUGAUUAGUGGAGAAAAUCUUCCUGCCCUGUACCUUCCCAACACAUUAGUUCACCCUGACUAAGCAGUGCUUCCAGGGAGUUACCAAAAAUCCACAAGGUUAAGUGCUUGGAUUCUUACACUAACCCAGGAACGCCAACAAUACCCACAAAACACAGACUCCCCAGUCCAUGGUCAAGACAAGCCCGGUUUUAGUACCACCAACCCUCUUAAUCCAAAAGAACCAAACAGCUGGGGGGGAAUUAUAUUUUAUUAAAGGUGGUGAAAAAGUUAAAAAGUGCAAAACUUCAAAACAGUAUCAAUAUUUACAGAAGAGUCAGAAGAUCUGUGGGGCAAAAUAAGUAAUUAAAGCAUUGAGACAAGAACAAUUCCAGACCAAUCACACAUGAAAAUAGAAAGGCUAGUUAACCUCUCCUAAUACUUAUAUCCUGGCAUGGUUUCAGAGCAUAUAUGUAAUGCAGACCAUAUAACAAAACAACAGAUGAGCAUAGCAUUCUCUUUAAAUCCCAUCCCUAUCGGCCAGCUGAAUUUGUUGGGUGGCAAGCCAGAUUGGGAAGUGUUCUGGACAAAAUGAAAAGCUCCCUGUGGCAUGGUUGACAGCUGCACAUUUGAAAAAUGACUGAGAAAAGAAGUGAAUUGGCACUGUUAAUUUCAUUUGUGGUAGUUAAUGGAAAUUCAACAAAUGAGUGUUGAAUGAAAUGCAUUGAUCUUUAUUUAUUUGAUUCAGUUGUUUAAUUUUUCAUGAGUUUCUAUUGGAAUGAAAAAGUGAUUUGGAACCAUAACAUCAGUACAGAUCACAAAGAGAUUACAUACAGGAAGUGGAAAAAGAAGGCACAGGGAAAUCAACAGAUAUAAGCCGUACAUCAUGUCAUAUCAUAGGCCAUGCUGAAUUAGGAGCACUGCUGGGUUCCUGCUGUUUACUGAAAUUCCACCAAGCACUGACUGGCCCCAGCUAUUUUGCUGUCUGAAGAAGAGCGAGAGAGAGAGAGAACGAGAGAGAGCCCAACUGUGUCACAAUAACUUAGAGCACCUCGUACCUGAGCAAUUCAUUUAGAUAUCUGAGGCAGAGAAUCCUACACAAAUCACUCCCUACGUGCAAGAGUAAAAACACAAUACAGUAACAAUAAACUGAAUGUCCUACUAUUUCCUGCCCUUUUU
This is a long non-coding RNA of Pogona vitticeps (central bearded dragon), 2591 nucleotides long. Lineage: Eukaryota; Metazoa; Chordata; Lepidosauria; Squamata; Agamidae. The record is from Ensembl.